UAUCAAUAAGCGGAGGAAAAGAAACCAACAGGGAUUACCUCAGUAACGGCGAGUGAAGCGGUAAAAGCUCAAAUUUGAAAUCUGGCUCUUUUAGAGUCCGAGUUGUAAUUUGUAGAAGAUGCUUCGGGUGUGGUUCCGGUCUAAGUUCCUUGGAACAGGACGUCAUAGAGGGUGAGAAUCCCGUAUGUGACUGGAUACCUAUGCUCAUGUGAAGCUCUUUCGACGAGUCGAGUUGUUUGGGAAUGCAGCUCAAAAUGGGUGGUAUAUUUCAUCUAAAGCUAAAUAUUGGCCAGAGACCGAUAGCGCACAAGUAGAGUGAUCGAAAGAUGAAAAGCACUUUGGAAAGAGAGUUAAACAGUACGUGAAAUUGUUGAAAGGGAAGCGCUUGCAAUCAGACUUGCACUUGGUGUUCAUCAGGGUUUCUGCCUGUGUACUUCAUCAAGUUCAGGCCAGCAUCAGUUUGAGUGGUUAGAUAAAGGCUUGGAGAAUGUGGCCCUCUUCGGGGGGUGUUAUAGCUCCAGGUGCAAUGUACCUACUUGGACUGAGG
RNAcentral lists this ribosomal RNA (547 nucleotides) under [Sclerotium] perniciosum. Its description in RNAcentral is "eukaryotic LSU rRNA". It matches the Rfam family "Eukaryotic large subunit ribosomal RNA", at positions 41 to 593 of the family's 3401-position model. The record is from RNAcentral. Lineage: Eukaryota; Fungi; Ascomycota; Leotiomycetes; Helotiales; Sclerotiniaceae.